Molecule: non-coding RNA, 380 nt
Organism: Streptomyces sp. CB03911
Lineage: Bacteria; Bacillati; Actinomycetota; Actinomycetes; Kitasatosporales; Streptomycetaceae
Source: Rfam
GGGGAUGAUCGGUUUCGACAGGGGACGUCGAAACAGGAGAAGCGAGCCGAGGAAUGCGGCAAUGAUCUCGUUAACCAUCUGUCGCAAAAAAAUAAUCGCCAACACUAAGCGCGAUUCCCAGUUCGCUCUCGCUGCCUAAUUAAGCAGCGAUAGCGCAAGGGUGUCAGCCCGGGGAGUUCCCGACCCGGAUCCUGGCAUAAUCUAGGGAACUCAACCGUCCACCCGGGCUACGAGGGUGGGCGGGAAAUCAAACAGUAGCUGGGCCUGUUGGCGGCUUGUCCGCGUGACUGCCAGGGCCGAGAAAAGCACAGCGGACUGCGCUCGGAGAAGUCCUGAAUCCACUCCACUGGACCCGGGUUCGAUUCCCGGCAUCUCCACCA